UGGCCUUUCUCUUGUUGAGAUGGAUGGUC
RNAcentral lists this non-coding RNA (29 nucleotides) under Mus musculus (house mouse). Lineage: Eukaryota; Metazoa; Chordata; Mammalia; Rodentia; Muridae. The record is from RNAcentral.